Non-coding RNA from Molossus molossus (Pallas's mastiff bat), 132 nucleotides. RefSeq annotates it as small Cajal body-specific RNA 11. NCBI's taxonomy places the organism in Eukaryota, Metazoa, Chordata, Mammalia, Chiroptera, Molossidae. The transcript has a single exon. The record is from RefSeq and is a predicted model, not a curated record.
AAAUCCUACCUUCUCUGCUCCCCUGUGCUCAGUUAUAACAGGGGAGUCUGGCAGGACAUUCAACUGUCUCCCUUCAGUUUAGGAGGGCCGUUCUGAGUAUAGGGCUGGCUCUUAAAGGCAUGAGAGGACAAU